RNAcentral lists this ribosomal RNA (259 nucleotides) under uncultured bacterium. Its description in RNAcentral is "partial 16S ribosomal RNA". It matches the Rfam family "Bacterial small subunit ribosomal RNA", at positions 524 to 776 of the family's 1533-position model. The record is from RNAcentral.
UACAGAGGUCCCAAGCGUUGUUCGGAUUCACUGGGCGUAAAGGGUGCGUAGGUGGCGAGGUAAGUCGGAUGUGAAAGCCUCGGAGCCUCAACUCCGAAAUGGCAUUGGAAACUACCUUGCUUGAGGGUUGGAGGGGGGGACUGGAAUUCUCGGUGUAGCAGUGAAAUGCGUAGAGAUCGGGAGGAACACCAGUGGCGAAGGCGGCACCCUGGACCAGCACGUGACACUGAGGCGACGAAAGCGCUGGGGAGCAAACAGG